GUGUUAUGCGUUUACUUUUCUACAUUGGCUAGAGGUAUAGGGGGAGGGUUGAGAUUUCACAAACAUGUUUAACCCCGCCGCAUUUUUGCGCCUGUCUCAAGUCAGGAGCCUCUGGUCUUCGUUAGUCUUGUAUUAUUUUAAUUUUAGUUUCUUGUGUACAAUUUGGAAAUUAGUAUGGCGUUCAUUAUCACUGAACUAGUAUAUAUUUGUUUAG
This 214-nucleotide long non-coding RNA is filed under the name Mytilus galloprovincialis (Mediterranean mussel). Lineage: Eukaryota; Metazoa; Mollusca; Bivalvia; Mytilida; Mytilidae. The record is from RNAcentral.